RNAcentral lists this ribosomal RNA (468 nucleotides) under uncultured bacterium. RNAcentral's name for it is "partial 16S ribosomal RNA". It matches the Rfam family "Bacterial small subunit ribosomal RNA", at positions 28 to 507 of the family's 1533-position model. The record is from RNAcentral.
GACGAACGCUGGCGGCGUGCUUAACACAUGCAAGUCGAACGGAAAGGCCCUGCUUUUGUGGGGUGCUCGAGUGGCGAACGGGUGAGUAACACGUGAGUAACCUGCCCUUGACUUUGGGAUAACUUCAGGAAACUGGGGCUAAUACCGGAUAGGAGCUCCUGCUGCAUGGUGGGGGUUGGAAAGUUUCGGCGGUUGGGGAUGGACUCGCGGCUUAUCAGCUUGUUGGUGGGGUAGUUGCUUACCAAGGCUUUGACGGGUAGCCGGCCUGAGAGGGUGACCGGCCACAUUGGGACUGAGAUACGGCCCAGAAUCCUACGGGAGGCAGCAGUGGGGAAUAUUGCACAAUGGGCGGAAGCCUGAUGCAGCAACGCCGCGUGCGGGAUGACGGCCUUCGGGUUGUAAACCGCUUUCGCCUGUGACGAAGCGUGAGUGACGGUAAUGGGUAAAGAAGCACCGGCUAACUACGUG